RNAcentral lists this long non-coding RNA (213 nucleotides) under Elaeis guineensis (African oil palm). RNAcentral's name for it is "long non-coding RNA (EGUI_LNC052941)". Lineage: Eukaryota; Viridiplantae; Streptophyta; Magnoliopsida; Arecales; Arecaceae. The record is from RNAcentral.
AGCCAUGUCAUGACUUUAGGUUUGAACCUAAUCCAAUUAAGUUUAUAACAACAGGAUGAGGGUUAGCACAAACACCUGUGCACCAAAUCCAAUUAGAAACUUGGUUUAUGUGUUAGCAAUUUAAUUAACUCAUGAGAUUUACAAUAAAUCCAUUUAGAUUAGAUCAACAUCAAAUUCUUAUUGUGUGUGAUCCAUUAGGUUCUAUAUCUAGCC